This is a long non-coding RNA of Pantherophis guttatus, 570 nucleotides long. RefSeq lists it as uncharacterized. The record is from RefSeq and is a predicted model, not a curated record. Lineage: Eukaryota; Metazoa; Chordata; Lepidosauria; Squamata; Colubridae.
GUUGAAUACAAUUUGGAAAAGAAAAAUGGAAACUUUGGGGGGAAGGGAGGAAGAUUCUGAAAUGGACUGCUGAAGGAUGGUCUCGUUGGCUGCAGGAAACCUGAGCAGAUACCCUUCUAUUAGGAGUUAAGCCUUGGAUCCCCUUCUCCUGGGAAGUAAAAUGGGUGAGGACCCAAAGGAAAGCUUUCUCGUCAUCCCUGCAUUACUAGAGCUGGCCUCCAGAGGCCAGGAUGGCAACAACACUGUCUUCAGGAAGGUCAGUUAAAUGGCUUUCAAAUAUCUUCAGAAGCUCAAGGAAUGAAAACAGCAAUGAGGGAAUAAGUACCCUGAAUGAUUCUUGAAGUCUUUGGUGGACAGAAGAUAUUAGUUGCUAUAACCAAGCAGGUUUUACCAUCGUACCAUCCAGGCACUAGUGACAUAUAGGCUUUCCAGAGUAGCUAUGAUGAAAACAUUCAUAAAGCAAACCCUGCAAGUUCUGUGGGUUUCUUUUUUAAUCAAAUGAUUGAAAGGAAAUGAAGGCUAAUCUGGAUAUGAUUCUCUCAGCAUUUCUAAAUUAAGUCUGAAAAUUUU